GAGUUUGAUCUUGGCUCAGAACGAACGCUGGCGGCAUGCCUAACACAUGCAAGUCGAACGAACUCUUCGGAGUUAGUGGCGCACGGGUGCGUAACGCGUGGGAAUCUGCCCUUGGGUACGGAAUAACUCAGAGAAAUUUGUGCUGAUACCGGUAUAAUGACUUCGGUCCAAAGAUUUAUCGCCCAAGGAUGAGCCCGCGUAAGAUUAGCUAGUUGGUGGGUAAAGGCCUACCAAGGCUACGAUCUUUAGCUGGUCUGAGAGGAUGAUCAGCCACACUGGGACUGAGACACGGCCCAGACUCCUACGGGAGGGCAGCAGUGGGGAAUAUUGGACAAUGGGCGAAAGCCUGAUCCAGCAAUGCCGCGUGAGUGAUGAAGGCCUUAGGGUUGCAAAAGC
This 396-nucleotide ribosomal RNA is filed under the name uncultured microorganism. RNAcentral describes it as "bacterial SSU rRNA". It matches the Rfam family "Bacterial small subunit ribosomal RNA", at positions 9 to 431 of the family's 1533-position model. The record is from RNAcentral.